AGCUCCACGAGCAUAUAUAUCCGUUGUUGCAGUUAAAAAGUUCGUAGUCGAUUUUCGUGGAAGUCUGACGCAUAUAGCACUAGAGUGCUGUGUGUGUCGAUUCCUCUGUUUCUCGAUAAUGCGUGUCGGUGAUUAAUUUCAUCGGCAAUGUGUUGCGAGUCAUUUACCGUGAAGAAAGCAAAGCGAUUCAAGCAGGCCACUGGCCGUUGAAUGUUUCAGCAUGGGAUAAUGUAACACGACCCUGAGUCGUUUCGUUGGUUCAGACGAUGGGUAAUGAAAAAUAGGAGUGGUUUGGGGCAUUUGUACUACGACGUCAGCGGUGAAAUGCGAGGACCGUCGUAAGACAAACAACUGCGAAGGCAUCUCGCCAGGGACGCUUUCAUUG
This 385-nucleotide ribosomal RNA is filed under the name Caenocholax sp. RNAcentral's name for it is "partial small subunit ribosomal RNA". It matches the Rfam family "Eukaryotic small subunit ribosomal RNA", at positions 587 to 975 of the family's 1831-position model. Lineage: Eukaryota; Metazoa; Arthropoda; Insecta; Strepsiptera; Myrmecolacidae. The record is from RNAcentral.